Molecule: ribosomal RNA, 468 nt
Filed under: uncultured bacterium
Lineage: Bacteria
Description: partial 16S ribosomal RNA
Rfam family: Bacterial small subunit ribosomal RNA
Source: RNAcentral
GACGAACGCUGGCGGCGUGCUUAACACAUGCAAGUCGAACGGAAAGGCCCUGCUUUUGUGGGGUGCUCGAGUGGCGAACGGGUGAGUAACACGUGAGUAACCUGCCCUUGACUUUGGGAUAACUUCAGGAAACUGGGGCUAAUACCGGAUAGGAGCUCCUGCUGCAUGGUGGGGGUUGGAAAGUUUCGGCGGUUGGGGAUGGACUCGCGGCUUAUCAGCUUGUUGGUGGGGUAGUGGCUUACCAAGGCUUUGACGGGUAGCCGGCCUGAGAGGGUGACCGGCCACAUUGGGACUGAGAGACGGCCCAGACUCCUACGGGGGGCAGCAGUGGGGAAUAUUGCACAAUGGGCGGAAGCCUGAGGCAGCAACGCCGCGUGCGGGAUGACGGCCUUCGGGUUGUAAACCGCUUUCGCCUGUGACGAAGCGUGAGUGACGGUAAUGGGUAAAGAAGCACCGGCUAACUACGUG